GUAUAGAAAUAAUAUUUCUAAUGACCUUUGGUAUGUAAUAACAGUCUUUUAAUUCUAAAAUUUUGUCCGAAGGCAAAUCAAGCAUAUAGGUUCUCACAGUCUUUGCUCUAAUAGACUCUCCACUUGUGCUAUAAAGCUUGAGGUCACCUCUUUUUAGACCUUUGAUAUUCUAUGGUCGCUGUAAUAAAUUACAAAUGUACGAUCC
Molecule: long non-coding RNA, 205 nt
Filed under: Elaeis guineensis (African oil palm)
Lineage: Eukaryota; Viridiplantae; Streptophyta; Magnoliopsida; Arecales; Arecaceae
Description: long non-coding RNA (EGUI_LNC062007)
Source: RNAcentral